Long non-coding RNA from Rhodamnia argentea, 645 nucleotides. RefSeq lists it as uncharacterized. NCBI's taxonomy places the organism in Eukaryota, Viridiplantae, Streptophyta, Magnoliopsida, Myrtales, Myrtaceae. The transcript is spliced from 2 exons. The record is from RefSeq and is a predicted model, not a curated record.
GAUGUCACUUUCUUCGAGGGCACACCAUACUAUUUUGUUGAGGGUAAAGAGUUUUCAACUAACAUUAUAGCCGAUCCUCCUAUUCCACAGCUUAUUCCCUUAGACUCGGUUAGUCCUUCCCCUGUGUCUCCCCCCUUGCGGGUGUAUCAACGGCGAAAACAGUCUACGGCACCACCAAUCUCCAGCUCUUCCAUGCCCUCCAUCCAAUCUCCCUCCUUGUCUCCCGGUCCAGACGAUCUUCCAAUUGCCCUUCGCAAAGGCCUUAUCGCGCCUUGAGUGGAAGAGAGCUAUGGAUGUGGAAAUGGAAGCUCUUAUGUCUCGCCAAACGUGGUCUUUGAUUGAUCUUCCACCCGGGAAAGAUGUCGUGAAGUGUCGAUGGGUAUACACUAUCAAGUACAACCCGGAUGGCUCGGUUGAGCGUCUUAAAGCCCGACUUGUUGCUAAAGGUUUUACUCAAAUCUAUGGGGUGGAUUAUUUUGAGACAUUUUCCCCCGUGGCACGUCUUAAUUCUGUUCGUGUUAUUAUUUCCCUUGCUGUGAAUUUUGAUUGGCCAUUAUAUCAAUUGGAUGUGAAGAAUGAUUUUCUUUACGGUGAUUUGUCCGAGGAAGUAUAUAUGGAGCAACCUCCAGGAUAUGUUGCUCAGGG